RNAcentral lists this ribosomal RNA (271 nucleotides) under uncultured bacterium. RNAcentral describes it as "partial 16S ribosomal RNA". It matches the Rfam family "Bacterial small subunit ribosomal RNA", at positions 28 to 302 of the family's 1533-position model. The record is from RNAcentral.
GACGAACGCUGGCGGCGUGCUUAACACAUGCAAGUCGAGCGGUAAGGCCCUUCGGGUACGACGAGCGGCGAACGGGUGAGUAACACGUGGGUGACCUGCCUCUAGCUCUGGGAUAAGCCUGGGAAACUGGGUCUAAUACCGGAUAUGACUCCACGGCGCAUGUUGUGGGGUGGAAAGCCUUGUGUGGCUAGAGAUGGGCCCGCGGCCUAUCAGCUUGUUGGUGGGGUGAUGGCCUACCAAGGCGACGACGGGUAGCCGGCCUGAGAGGGCG